Molecule: ribosomal RNA, 430 nt
Filed under: uncultured bacterium
Lineage: Bacteria
Description: bacterial SSU rRNA
Rfam family: Bacterial small subunit ribosomal RNA
Source: RNAcentral
GACGAACGCUGGCGGCGUGCUUAACACAUGCAAGUCGAACGAUGAAGCUGGAGCUUGCUCCGGUGGAUUAGUGGCGAACGGGUGAGUAACACGUGAGCAAUCUGCCCUUGACUCUGGGAUAACUGCGGGAAACUGUAGCUAAUACCGGAUACGACACCUUGGGGCAUCCCAGGGUGUGGAAAGAAUUUCGGUCAAGGAUGAGCUCGCGGCCUAUCAGCUAGUUGGUGAGGUAAUGGCUCACCAAGGCGACGACGGGUAGCCGGCCUGAGAGGGUGACCGGUCACACUGGAACUGAGACACGGUCCAGACUCCUACGGGAGGCAGCAGUGGGGAAUAUUGCACAAUGGACGAAAGUCUGAUGCAGCAACGCCGCGUGAGGGAUGAAGGCCUCGGUGUAAGACNCUUCGUCCAGGGACGAGUAAUAGACGGU